This 492-nucleotide ribosomal RNA is filed under the name uncultured bacterium. Its description in RNAcentral is "partial 16S ribosomal RNA". It matches the Rfam family "Bacterial small subunit ribosomal RNA", at positions 29 to 507 of the family's 1533-position model. The record is from RNAcentral.
AGUGAACGCUGGCGGUAGGCCUAACACAUGCAAGUCGAACGGCAGCACAGUAAGAGCUUGCUCUUACGGGUGGCGAGUGGCGGACGGGUGAGGAAUACAUCGGAAUCUACUUUUACGUGGGGGAUAACGUAGGGAAACUUACGCUAAUACCGCAUACGACCUACGGGUGAAAGCAGCGGAUCUUCGGACCUUGCGCGACUGAAUGAGCCGAUGUCGGAUUAGCUAGUUGGCGGGGUAAAGGCCCACCAAGGCGACGAUCCGUAGCUGGUCUGAGAGGAUGAUCAGCCACACUGGAACUGAGACACGGUCCAGACUCCUACGGGAGGCAGCAGUGUAGAAUAUUGGACAAUUGGCGCAAGUCUGUUCCAGCCAUACCGCGUGAGUUAAGAAGGCCUUCGGGUUGUAAAGCCCUUUUGUUGGGAAAGAAAGGCAGCAGGUUAAUACCCCGCUGUUCUGACGGUACUCAACGAAUAAGCGCCGGCUAACUUCGUG